UGUUCAGUCUCAUUCAUCGUUGGAGUUUUCGAGAGAACAAUGUCCAGUUUGGUCAAUCAUGGAGACCACGAGUUGCAGGGAUUCACAAUGCAGAUGGCCCAAUGCAAGUCCAACAAGGGAUGCAUGCAGUCUGGGUUAAUUGAAAGGUUGCUCUGGAAGCAUAGACUCGGUGGAUGAUGGUGGAUGAUGCUGUCGCUGUUGCUACAUGAAAGAUGGGGUUUGCUGAAAGCAAUCAAACCUGAUGUGACGAAUUAUGGCUGUGGAGAAACUGGAGGCGUUUGGCCAGUUUGCUUCUGGUACAGUCUGUAAUGACCAGGGCAAAUGGUGAUUUUACGUCUUCCUUGAUCCAAGGAAGGGAGUUCUGGACCCCAUGAUGUCUAGCGUUUACUCUGCCAUGUGACUGAUCGAAUGUGCCACAUGGAGUUGCGUGCAUCCUGUCCCUGUUGCAGGUGGUGCUGACAUGACGUCUUUGGAGAACCUUAAGGAUUCCUGACUUCUGUGGCUUUAGGAUCCAACUGGUUGAUUUGAGGCCAUUUCUCUAAAGUUCCUCCAAGGCUUUCUCUCCUGAUUUUGACCAUUAAGCUUGAAUUACUAUGUUUGCAUCUGGUUCCAUUUAGUCUUGACGCAAGUUCCAUUCUACUUGUAAUUUGUCUAACUGCAUAUGGCUAUGACAAUUAAUGUGGUAUAAGAUUGUCCUUAAAGCUUGACACAUGAGAAUUUCAUUAUUGAACUUGAAGCAAUUUUGUUUCAAAAGGAAACAUUAAGUACUCUGGGCGUAUUUCAUGCUAUAAGAUUGUAACAUAUCAAACCAGGUUAUUCCUUAAAAUCAGGAAUAACUUGUAUUCAUGCAAAUAAUUAAAUUGUUCAUCUGCAAAAUAAAAUCAUUUUUUAAACAAGGAA
This is a long non-coding RNA of Triplophysa dalaica, 900 nucleotides long. RefSeq lists it as uncharacterized. The transcript is spliced from 11 exons. Lineage: Eukaryota; Metazoa; Chordata; Actinopteri; Cypriniformes; Nemacheilidae. The record is from RefSeq and is a predicted model, not a curated record.